Molecule: long non-coding RNA, 199 nt
Filed under: Vigna radiata
Lineage: Eukaryota; Viridiplantae; Streptophyta; Magnoliopsida; Fabales; Fabaceae
Description: long non-coding RNA (VRAD_LNC015417)
Source: RNAcentral
GUGGUGUGUUAUAUAGACCUAUAAUCAUCUCGGUUGUGGCCACCUACCCUCUGCGGAGAGACUUCAUCCUAGCCUCCAUCAUGGACAUAUACAUGUCCCUCAUCUGGAAUGGCUCUGCCUGUUGUGCUAGCUCAUCCUACCGAGAUGCUUCUCUCCUAGGUCGUCUCCUAGGCAUUGGUCCAGCUGCCUCAUCUCCUCC